GACGAACGCUGGCGGCGUGCUUAACACAUGCAAGUCGAACGGAAAGGCCCUGCUUUUGUGGGGUGCUCGAGUGGCGAACGGGUGAGUAACACGUGAGUAACCUGCCCUUGACUUUGGGAUAACUUCAGGAAACUGGGGCUAAUACCGGAUAGGAGCUCCUGCUGCAUGGUGGGGGUUGGAAAGUUUCGGCGGUUGGAGAUGGACUCGCGGCUUAUCAGCUUGUUGGUGGGGUAUUGGCUUACCAAGGCUUUGACGGGUAGCCGGCCUGAGAGGGUGACCGGGCACAUUGGGCCUGAGAGACGGCCCAGACUGCUACGGGCGGCAGCAGUGGGAAAUCUUGCACAAUAGGCGGGAGCCUGAUGAAGCAACGCCGCGUUCGGGAAGACGGCCUUCGGGUGGUAAACAACUUUCGCCUGUGACGAAGCGUGAGUGACGGUAAUGAGUAAAGAAGCAACGGCUAACUACGUG
This 468-nucleotide ribosomal RNA is filed under the name uncultured bacterium. RNAcentral's name for it is "partial 16S ribosomal RNA". It matches the Rfam family "Bacterial small subunit ribosomal RNA", at positions 28 to 507 of the family's 1533-position model. The record is from RNAcentral.